GCCAGGCAUGGUGGAGCUUGCCUGUAGUCCCAGCUACUCAGGAGGCUGAGAUGGGAGGAUCACUUGAGCCCAGGAGUUCGAGGCUGCAGUGAGCCGAGAUCACGCCACUGAACUCCAGCCUGGGCAACAGAGCGAGACCUUGUCUCAA
This 148-nucleotide signal recognition particle RNA is filed under the name Homo sapiens (human). Its description in RNAcentral is "Metazoan signal recognition particle RNA". It matches the Rfam family "Metazoan signal recognition particle RNA". Rfam says of the family: The signal recognition particle (SRP) is a universally conserved ribonucleoprotein. It is involved in the co-translational targeting of proteins to membranes. The record is from Rfam by way of RNAcentral. Lineage: Eukaryota; Metazoa; Chordata; Mammalia; Primates; Hominidae.